GCUGCCCCUCGGCUAUUGGCUAUUCGUUCUCCCCGCGUGCUCUCGAGCAGGGACGAGCAGCCGCGCCGCGCGGGACAAGGUGUGGGCGGACGAGCAGGGAGUCGCCGGGGAAGCCGCGGGCGGACGAGCAGGGCCUCGCCGAGACCCGCAGGGGCUUGCCGUGGGAGCUGCUCUCCGGGUCACCGGGCGAGGAGCCCGCUGCGGCACAGGCUCACCGGAGAAGAGGAGCUGUGUGGGCGGGGCGCGGGAGCUCGUGCCGCAGGAGCGGCUGCCGUGGGGAGGAGCUCGCUCCAGGGGAAGGGAUCUGCUCUGAAGCUCGCUCUGCCGCGCCGUUGAGAGGAGCUGGGAGCCCGCGCCGCCGUCGGUAGGAGCUGGGAGCGCUUGUUCGGUAGGAGCUGGGAGCGUGACGACUAGGCUACCACCGCCGGCUGCCGCCGCCGCCGCUCUACGCUAGAUGCCAAUGUCUUCGCCGGACCUUUCCCCGGAAACGAGCACCCAACAGGUUCAUAUGGCCUGUGUAAUGCAAGGACGUAGAGUUGGAGUGGCAUACUAUGAUUCGGAUACUCGCCAACUUUUUGUGUUAGAAAUCUGGGAAGACAGCGUUGGGGAAUAUCCUCUGAUUGAUCUUGUGAAAUUUCAGUCAAAACCAAGCACAAUAUAUGCAAGCACAAAAACAGAAGAAGCACUUUUGUCGGCUUUACAACGAAAUGAUGGUAACAAUGAGGCUCCUGUUGUGAAGCUUAUGAAAAGCUCAACAUUCAGCUAUGAGCAAGCCUGGCACAGAUUGAUCUACUUGAAAGUUGCAGCUAUGGAUGAUGGACUCAGUGCAAAAGAAAGGAUAUGCUUUCUUAAUUCCAUGAUGGAUCUUGGAAGCGAUGUUCAAGUUCGUGCUGCUGGAGGUCUCCUAGCCAUAUUAGACAAUGAGAGACUUCUUGACACCAUUGAGCAGAUGCAAGGUGGAGCAUCCAUUGCAAUCGAUUCUGUGGUACAGAUCUCAUUAGACAAGUUCCUUAAACUCGAUGCAACUGCUCAUGAAGCACUACAGAUUUUUCAAGUAGAUAAACACCCUAGUUACAUGGGAAUUGGAAGGGCUAAAGAAGGGUUCUCAGUUUUUGGCAUGCUCAACAAGUGUGUCACGCCAAUGGGAAAACGCCUCUUGAGGGCAUGGUUCCUACGUCCUAUAAUUGAUAUUGAUGUCAUAAAUAAUCGCCUCAACACAAUAACAUUCUUUCUUUGCUGUGAAGAAGUAAUGUCUGCAUUGCGUGAGACUUUAAAGUCUGUCAGAGAUGUUCCCCACAUGCUCCAGAAAUUCAACUCUCCAAGUUCCUUCUGUACAAGCAGUGACUGGACCACAUUUCUUAAGUGCAUUUGCUCUCUGCUACAUAUAAACAAGAUUUUUGAAGUAGGAAUAUCAGAGCAUCUGGCGAUUAAGUUGCAACAUAUGAACAUUGAUUUGAUUGGAAAGGCAAAUUCUUCCAUUACAGCAGAGUUGGAUUACGUGUCAGACCUGGUAGUUGGUGUGAUUGAUGUUCAACGGGGUAAGGAGAAAGGCUAUGAAACCGUGGUGAAAGAAGGGUUAUGUGAUGAGCUGGAUGAGCUGAGGAUGGUGUAUGAAGGUUUACCUGACUUUCUGGAGCAGGUGUCAGAUAAUGAAAACGCUUCUUUACCUUUCUCAUUUGGAUGCAGAAUAGCUCCACUAGUAGUCUAUGUACACCAAAUAGGGUACCUAAUGUGCUUUUUUGAUGAGAAGAUUAGUGAUGCCUUGUUGGCAGGACUUCCAGAUUACGAAUUUGCGUUUUCAGACGAAGGUGAGGAGAGAAGGUUCUUCUAUCAUACCCAAAAGACUAGAGAACUGGACAACCUUCUUGGAGAUAUUUAUCAUAAAAUUCUUGACAUGGAGAGAGCUAUCAUAAGGGAUUUAGUGUGUCGCGUCCUUCAAUUUCUACCUCAACUGACAAAAGCAGUGAACUUUGCAGCAGAACUUGAUUGUAUUUUAUCAUUAGCAAUUGUUGCUCGCCAAAACAAUUAUGUGAGGCCCAUCUUAACUGAAGAUUCAAUACUCGAGAUACAUAAUGGCAGACAUGCUUUGCAGGAAAUGACUGUUGAUACCUUUGUUCCGAAUGAUAUCAAAAUUCGUGAUGCAGGAAGAAUAAACAUAAUAACUGGGCCCAACUACUCAGGAAAAAGCAUUUACAUUAAGCAGGUGGCCUUGAUAGUUUUUCUUGCUCAUAUUGGAAGCUUUGUUCCUGCUGAUUCUGCUAUUGUUGGAUUGACAGAUAGGAUAUUCUGUGCAAUGGGAAGCAAAUCCAUGACAACUGAACAGUCAACUUUUAUGAUUGACCUACAUCAAGUUGGAACAAUGCUUAGGCAUGCAACAUCCAGGUCACUGUGUUUGUUGGAUGAAUUCGGUAAGGGCACUCUAACGGAAGAUGGCAUUGGUCUGCUUGGAGGUACUAUCAGUCAUUUUGCAAACUAUGAUCCCCCCCCGAAGGUCCUUUUGUCAACACAUCUGACAGAGAUCUUCACCGAGAACUACCUACCACAGUCUGAACAUAUCAAAUGUUAUACCAUGAGUGUUCUGAAUCCUGAUGGACAGACGAGCAAUGAAGAUAUCAUAUUCCUUUAUCGGCUUGUACCUGGGCAAGCUCUCUUAAGCUUUGGUCUGCAUUGUGCAUGGCUUGCUGAUUGGUAUUGUCAGCAUUGUUUUGCUUCAAUUAAAAGUUGCGGUCAUAGUGAAGUGAUUGACAUGUUGACAUGCCAAUUGCCAUGUGUUCCAAAUGAAGUUGUCCAGAGAGCUGACAGUGUUUUAGGGGACAUACAUUCCAAGAAACCUGCGAGGCGCGUGACCAGUGAGAAAUUAACAGCAACAGACAAGCAGUACCAGGAUGCAGUGACUAAACUGAUGGCCAUCGAUACACAGAAAGAUGACCUGAACAGCUUCUUCCAGGAACUAUUCCCCUCCGAAUUGUAGCUCUCGAAAUCAAGACUUGUACAGGAAAAAGGAUGAAAGUUGGAAUGGUUACUGGAACCUACAGGAAUGAGUACUGGAACCUCCAGCAAAAAGGGUGAAAGUUGGAAUGGCCUCGGGGGUUAUGUCAUCGGAAUCAAUCACUGAAAGUCCUUGACGGGAAAUACUAACAGGCAUCUUCAGUGAAAGAGUCGGCCAUCGAGUCUACUCGCGACGACCUGCAAGGCUGCAACUCAGAGUUAGGAUGUGUGCUGACCUCACUGUCUUGCACAAACUAGACUAGAUUCGACAAUUUGUUUUUGACAACUUUUUUUUUUGCGACUUGUUUUUGACAACUGAUAUGCCACAUGUGUUAGCGGUCUUUCCUCUAAGAAAUAUAUUUAUAUUAUUAUCUUUUA
Molecule: RNA transcript, 3366 nt
Organism: Sorghum bicolor (sorghum)
Lineage: Eukaryota; Viridiplantae; Streptophyta; Magnoliopsida; Poales; Poaceae
Gene name: DNA mismatch repair protein MSH5
Exons: 36
Source: RefSeq, a predicted model, not a curated record